This 360-nucleotide ribosomal RNA is filed under the name uncultured bacterium. Its description in RNAcentral is "bacterial SSU rRNA". It matches the Rfam family "Bacterial small subunit ribosomal RNA", at positions 29 to 387 of the family's 1533-position model. The record is from RNAcentral.
AUUGAACGCUGGGCGGCAUGCCUUACACAUGCAAGUCGAACGGUAACGCGGGGCAACCUGGCGACGAGUGGCGAACGGGUGAGUAAUAUAUCGGAACGUGCCCAGUAGUGGGGGAUAGCCCGGCGAAAGCCGGAUUAAUACCGCAUACGACCUACGGGUGAAAGCGGGGGAUCGCAAGACCUCGCGCUAUUGGAGCGGCCGAUAUCAGAUUAGGUAGUUGGUGGGGGUAAAGGCCUACCAAGCCUACGAUCUGUAGCUGGUCUGAGAGGACGACCAGCCACACUGGGACUGAGACACGGCCCAGACUCCUACGGGAGGCAGCAGUGGGGAAGUUUUUGGGACAAUGGGCGCAAGCCUGAU